Non-coding RNA from Pelobates cultripes (western spadefoot toad), 327 nucleotides. The record is from the annotation of a GenBank genome assembly. Lineage: Eukaryota; Metazoa; Chordata; Amphibia; Anura; Pelobatidae.
CUAGAGUUCUGUUCAGGACCUGAGGGACAGCUGCUUGUCAUAUUCAGACUGCGCAUUGUUAUAUUCACCCCUAUCUCGCCAUUUCCCUACACGCAGAGCUGCUGCGCUUCUCUGAAUUUCUGAUCGAAUGGUAGGCGUAGACACAGUAGAUUUAAUUGGGAUCUGUGGUCAUCCUGCGAGCUUGCACCCCAUACACUAGCUGUGACGGAUGGCACUUGGGUAUUUCAGAAUAACUCAGACAGAAAGAGUUAUUGGUUCUGCAGCCAAAUGCACAAAUAUAAAGAUCACGAUCAUGUUUCAACGGGAAGCAAACAGCUUUCUCCCUCC